GACGAACGCUGGCGGCGUGCUUAACACAUGCAAGUCGAACGGAAAGGCCCUGCUUUUGUGGGGUGCUCGAGUGGCGAACGGGUGAGUAACACGUGAGUAACCUGCCCUUGACUUUGGGAUAACUUCAGGAAACUGGGGCUAAUACCGGAUAGGAGCUCCUGCUGCAUGGUGGGGGUUGGAAAGUUUCGGCGGUUGGGGAUGGACUCGCGGCUUAUCAGCUUGUUGGUGGGGUAGUGGCUUACCAAGGCUUUGACGGGUAGCCGGCCUGAGAGGGUGGCCGGCCACAUGGGGACUGAGAUACGGCCCAGACUCCUACGGGAGGCAGCAGUGGGGAAUAUUGCACAAUGGGCGGAAGCCUGAUGCAGCAACGCCGCGUGCGGGAUGACGGCCUUCGGGUUGGAAACCGCUUUCGCCUGUGACGAAGCGUGAGUGACGGUAAUGGGGAAAGAAGCACCGGCUAACUACGU
Molecule: ribosomal RNA, 467 nt
Filed under: uncultured bacterium
Lineage: Bacteria
Description: partial 16S ribosomal RNA
Rfam family: Bacterial small subunit ribosomal RNA
Source: RNAcentral